Molecule: transfer RNA, 112 nt
Filed under: Streptomyces sp. SID7760
Lineage: Bacteria; Bacillati; Actinomycetota; Actinomycetes; Kitasatosporales; Streptomycetaceae
Description: tRNA-OTHER
Source: RNAcentral
GGCCGUGUCGUCCGCAUCGGAUUGAACGCCUUUGAACGACCCCGGAUUUGCCGCGACCAGCCAGGACGAACCUGCAAAGCGAGGCACGCGGGUUCAAUUCCCGCCACGGCUU